This 466-nucleotide ribosomal RNA is filed under the name uncultured bacterium. RNAcentral describes it as "partial 16S ribosomal RNA". It matches the Rfam family "Bacterial small subunit ribosomal RNA", at positions 339 to 795 of the family's 1533-position model. The record is from RNAcentral.
CUACGGGGUGCAGCAGUGGGGAAUAUUGCACAAUGGGCGCAAGCCUGAUGCAGCCAUGCCGCGUGUAUGAAGAAGGCCUUCGGGUUGUAAAGUACUUUCAGCGGGGAGGAAGGGAGUAAAGUUAAUACCUUUGCUCAUUGACGUUACCCGCAGAAGAAGCACCGGCUAACUCCGUGCCAGGCAGCCGCGGUAAUGACGGAGGGUGCAAGCGUUAAUCGGAAUUACUGGGCGUAAAGCGCACGCAGGCGGUUUGUUAAGUCAGAUGUGAAAUCCCCGGGCUCAACCUGGGAACUGCAUCUGAUACUGGCAAGGGUUAGUAUCGUAGAGGGGGGUAGAAGUCCAGGUGUAGCGGUGAAAUGCGUAGAGAUCUGGAGGAAUACCGGUGGGGAAGGCGGCCCCCUGGACGGAGACUGACGCUCAGGUGCGAAAGCGUGGGGAGCAAACAGGAUUAGAUACCCCGGUAGUC